UGAAACUUUUUAUUUUAAUUGGGGCGAUUUAACUAAAUAUUAAAAACUUUUUUAAAAAAAAAUAUGAACCGUUAUUAACGGCCACUUGGAAAAAAUACUCUAGGGAUAACAGCGUAAUAAUUUUUGAUAGUUCUUAUAGACAAAAUAGUUUGCGACCUCGAUGUUGGAUUAGGAUAUUUUUUUA
Molecule: ribosomal RNA, 184 nt
Filed under: Amblyomma americanum (Lone Star tick)
Lineage: Eukaryota; Metazoa; Arthropoda; Arachnida; Ixodida; Ixodidae
Description: partial 16S ribosomal RNA
Source: RNAcentral